This 253-nucleotide ribosomal RNA is filed under the name uncultured bacterium. RNAcentral's name for it is "partial 16S ribosomal RNA". It matches the Rfam family "Bacterial small subunit ribosomal RNA", at positions 524 to 776 of the family's 1533-position model. The record is from RNAcentral.
UACGUAGGGGGCUAGCGUUGUCCGGAAUCAUUGGGCGUAAAGAGCGUGUAGGCGGUCCGGUAAGUCCGCUGUGAAAGUCGGGGGCUCAACCCUCGAAUGCCGGUGGAUACUGUCGGGCUAGAGUGCGGAAGAGGCGAGUGGAAUUCCUGGUGUAGCGGUGGAAUGCGCAGAUAUCAGGAAGAACACCAACGGCGAAGGCAGCUCGCCGGGACGGGACUGACGCUGAGACGCGAAAGCGUGGGGAGCGAACAGG